UAGGCCUAGGCAUCCAUUCACGCGUCCAUCGAAUGAAAUUCCAUGGUCAAUCUAAUCGUACUAUACAAACCAAAUGUUGAAUAAAGGCAUAUUUCUCAUACCAAAUUAACAAGUAACGUAGUUAAAAGUAGUCAACUUCUACAACAAAUGUAAUAUUUGUAUUUGGAGGGAAAGAAAAUCGUACUUACUUACGUAAUGAUCAAGGCCGAGCAGAAACAUGACUUCAUCUAUUUCUUCAUCUCUCCCAUGACUCCUAAACCUACAAAAGUAAGAAUGUAUCACUAUCUACGCCGGUGGCCGAUCUUGCUACCGGUAGCCCUCGAGAAGAUAAAUAAAAUAAAAUCAAUGUAUUUUUUUGCACCUCAAUAUUUGAAGGUGUGGAAAUAUGUAUUCAAGAGUACUUGGGCCUAGGCAUCACUAUUAGCAUCGUUCAUCCAAUCGAGUAUGAUAGUCAAUACAGUUAGUCCUCGCAAAACUAAACAAUUGCGAAACAAUCAAUACUCAUUCCACAAAAAUUUAAAUAAACAUAAUUAAAAAUAGUCAAAGUAUCAUAUAUGGCAAUAACUAAACCGUACCAUAUUAUAGAAACUCAUCGAAGAAGAUGACUACAUCCACCAUAAGUCCUAGACCUACAAAAGAAGAUCCGAUUAGUGCUCUGCCCGGUGACGAGCCCAAGGAACAUUGAGCUCAAGUUAGUUACGGCCCACCAGAAGAUAUGUAUAGAAAAUUGAAUGCAUGAUUUUUAAACCUUACUUUGAGACGUGGAUCUUUAUGUAAGAGGGGGCUUUUAAUUAGGCCUAGCCAUCCCCACUCACGUGGUCCAUUUAAUGAAAUUUCAUGGUCAACCUAAUUGUACCUCUACAAAAUUAAAAAUUGAAUAAAGGUAUAUUUCUCGUACAAAAUUAAUAAGUAGUGUAGUUAAAAGUAGUCAACUUCUACAACAAAAAUAGCAUUUGUAUUUGGAGGGGAAGAAAAUUUUACCAACAUACGUGAUGAUCAAGGCUGAACGAAAACAUGACUUCAUCUCUCCCGUGAUUCCUAAACCUUCAAAAGUAAGAAUGUAUCACUAUCUAAGCCGAUGGCCGACUGAGUUACCGAUAGCCCUCGAAAAGAUAAAUAAAAAAAAUCAAUAUAUUUUUUCGUACCUCGAUAUUUAAAGGUAUGGAAUAUGUAUUUGAGAUUACUUGGGCCUAGGCAUCACUAUUUGCAUGAUCCAUCCAAUCGAAUAUGAUAGUCAAUAUAGCUAGUUCUCACAAAAUCAAACAAUUGCGAAACAAUCAAAACUCAUUCUACAAAAAUUUAAAUAAGCAUAAUUAGAAAUAGUCAAAGUAUCACACAUGUCAAUAACUAAAUCGUACCGCCUUAUAGAAGCUCAACAAAAAAGAUGACUAUUUCCACCAUAAGUCCAAGACUCCAAAAGAAAAUCCAGUUAGUGACCUGUCCGGUGACGAGCUCAAGGAAUAUCAAGUUCAAGUUAAUUAUAGCCUACCAGAAGACGUGUAUGAAGAAUUGAAUGCAUAAUUUUUAGACCUUACUUUGAGAUGUGAAUCUUUACAUAAGAGGGGGCCUUUACUUAGGCUUAGCCAUCCCCUUCACGUGGUCCGUCGAAUAAAAUUUCAUGGUCAAUCUAAUUGUACCUCUA
Molecule: long non-coding RNA, 1642 nt
Filed under: Actinidia chinensis (golden kiwifruit)
Lineage: Eukaryota; Viridiplantae; Streptophyta; Magnoliopsida; Ericales; Actinidiaceae
Description: long non-coding RNA (ACHI_LNC008824)
Source: RNAcentral